GUGCUCACUUCAGCAGCACAUAUACUAACAUUAGAAUGACACAGAGAUUAGCAUGACCCUGCACGAGGAUGAUAUGCAAAUCCGUGAAGUGGUCCAUAGCUUU
Small nuclear RNA from Chionomys nivalis (European snow vole), 103 nucleotides. The record is from RefSeq and is a predicted model, not a curated record. Lineage: Eukaryota; Metazoa; Chordata; Mammalia; Rodentia; Cricetidae.